Molecule: RNA transcript, 907 nt
Organism: Momordica charantia (bitter melon)
Lineage: Eukaryota; Viridiplantae; Streptophyta; Magnoliopsida; Cucurbitales; Cucurbitaceae
Gene name: protein RADIALIS-like 1
Source: RefSeq, a predicted model, not a curated record
UGUUCUUUGGCACAUAUCAUUCUUUUCCUUGCAAAAUUUGAGAUCUUUUUAUUAACCCAUUUCUUUUCUCUCCACUUCAAACCCAUUGAAGCUUUCUUUUGUAUUGUCUUUGAGCUAAUCUCCUUGUCAAACUUUAGCAUUAUCAAUGGCUUCAAUGUCUGCUCAUGGGUCGGAUGGUGCAUGGAGUGCAAUGCAAAACAAGGCAUUUGAAAGGGCUUUGGCAGUGUAUGAUGAAGACACACCUCAACGAUGGCUGAAUGUUGCAAACGCCAUUGGUGGCAAAACUGAAGAGGAAGUCAAGAGGCACUACCAGCUUCUUGUAGAGGAUGUCAAGCAUAUUGAAUCUGGUGAAGUUCCUUUCCCGUACCGGAGCUCCGGUGGAUGCUAUGAUAAUGACCGAUGACGAAAAAGAGCUCUCUCUACUUGAAGUAUGAGGUAUCAAAAGAAGCAAUGAUGAGUAUUUAGACAAUCUAUAAAUAAAGAAAAGUUGAUAUUGCGAAAGAAGAAAUGGAGUCUUAUUAUAUGGAGAAACCCUAGCCAAUGACUUUAUACACAACUUAAUUCUCUAGCCACCAUUGGCGCAUACCCUAGGUAGAGGGACAAAAAACUAAAGGGCCGCCGACUUGUGAGUAAUAAAAAAAAAUAUCUUUAUAUACAACUUGUGUAUUUAUAUGAACAGAGAGAAAUGUUCAUAUAGCGAACCCUUGGGGUUGGAUUCUUGAUGGCUACAUGGUUCAAGUAAAAAACAAAAACGGAUGAAAAACAUGAAAUAUCCAUUGAGCUGCUCAUGCAGUAUUGGAAGAAUAAAAGAAGAAAACAACCAUUUUGCUUGCUUUUGUGUGUCCAUUUAAAUUUAAUUGUAAUAUCAAAAGGAAUAAAAGAUUUCUUGCUGUUUUAUUUUCCAAAA